UGGAACCAAAUUUUCCUUUCUCUUACCCAAGUCCUCCCUUGUGUUUUAUGUCAUGCAGUUUUCUUACUGCUGUUUUCUCUUUAAUAAUCUUCGGCAAUGCUACUUCAUAUUUCUGAUGAGCAUCUGUGGUUACACCACACAUUCAACACUGCUAGGACCCACACACUGACCAAGACUCCACUUGGGGGUUUAACAAUGGUAUGCAGAGAUGCUACAAGCAAGAGUUUCUCAGAUCCUUCAUGCCAUGAGCAACCUCUCAUAUGCACAGGAAGGAGGUCAAGCUGAGGCAUAUAAUCUUCCUGCCAUACAAUAUUCCAGCCACUUUAGCGUUUCAUCUCCUCAGAAAGAAGCAAUGUUUCAGAGGUGUUACCAUGGAAACAAUGGAGUGAGGAAGCAGCUAAACAUAAAAGGAUCCACAAGGAGAUGGAAGUGUUAAUGGCGGAGCUUCUUGCUCAGAGACUCGUCAGUAUAUUUUCUGUUCAGGUAAACAUUGGCCACCGCACAUUAGGAAAAUUUUGGGGUGAAGGAGGGCAGAGCAGAUCCUACAAGCCUGAAACACUGAUUUGACCAUGCAGUACUGAGAGCGCCUUUCGCCUGGAGGGUCGCACAGAUGGUAAAUGAGAUCUCCACAUAGCCCAGAACUUCAGUCAGCCAGGAGUGGAUCAUGAGGGAACAGGUCUACUGAGGCUUGGAGCACUGGCAAGACCCUGCUUCCAGCAAAUCCCGAGGAACAGAUCCUACCCAUACCCAGCUGGCUUGGAGGCACAUGGAAGCAAACAGCCAGGCCAAUUCACAACUGGCUGGCAGAGCACCAUGGCAUCAGACAGGUUGUAAUGAUCAUCGUAAAAUAUAUUCGCAACACAGCUUUUCAGAAGAAUAAAUUAUACAAUGUUUUCUAUGCACACACAUCUUCAAUAAUAGCAUAAAAAUACAGCUAAACAAAUGUU
Molecule: long non-coding RNA, 947 nt
Organism: Hirundo rustica (Barn swallow)
Lineage: Eukaryota; Metazoa; Chordata; Aves; Passeriformes; Hirundinidae
Exons: 3
Source: RefSeq, a predicted model, not a curated record